CUCAUCUCUGCAUUCCUGUGAGCGGCAGGCCUCCAUGGGCCACAUAGCCGCCACCUGCUGCUGUAACCCCAGCACAGGGGAACCUGCAUCACCCUUUUCCCUCCAUCCACCCUCACCCAGGAGCCGGUUCCAAAUCCUCGGGACCAGACAGAGGCCACGUCUUCCCCGGCCCACUCCCCAGCAGCGACGUGGAGGUAGAGGGAGGAGCUUUUGCCGGCAACGCCAGCUUCCCCUGCCCCCUCUCCCUCUAGAGCUCCCCUCCUCUCCUCUUUCAUUCCCCUCCUUAUCCCUCCUCUUCUCUCCCCUUCCCUCCCCGCCCUUCCCCUCUGCCGCAGCCCAGCUCCUAGCGCGUCAGCGUGGGCUUCCCGGAGCGAGUCGCUAGGUAACAGGGCUAGCUCCGCAGACCCGGGCCAGGGAAGCCCGCGCGCGUCGUCAGCAUCUGCGCCGAGGGGCGGGGGACGCACUGACACUCCCCUAUCGGAGCCUGCAGACCCUUCAGCUGGUUCUCAGUCCCCUCCCUGGAUGCCUUAAGGGUGGCUAUUGCCACCGCGGAGUUGCCCCUCCCCUGCGGGGACCCCGACGUCGCCGCCCCCUUCUCCUCUCACGCUGGUCCGCACCACUCUCCGCACCGCCAGCCACCCUCCGAGAUCUUCCCGCCGAGCCCAGGCGCGGGGCAUGAGGAGCCCCUGGGUGUCUCCUGCAGACAACCCAGCCUCGCGCACACCUCGCCAGUCGCUGACAGGGACAUGAACAGCAUGAUUGGGUUCCGGUGUCCGGCGGCCAGCCUCAGCCGGAGGCGGCCAGUGGGUCUGCGCUGUUUGGGAGAAUGAGGCAGGAACCCACGGCAACCUCUCUCUCCUCCUUCUCCUCGCCUUCCUCUGGCUCCCGCUCCCCGGACCCGGGCCGGGCUGUGGCUCUGCUGCGUGCCCUGCGCGCCCCCCACCUGCCUCCGGAUGCUCUUCUCGGUGAAGCCCCUGGGGUCCAGAGGUCAGAAGGAACUGUCCAACGUCAAACCAAACCAAACCCUUCAGGAGAAGAAAGAUCUGGUGGCCUAUUCUGCAUGCUGCUUCAGGCUGCCACUGUCCUGCUGGACUGUGACAUCCUUGAAGUGGGAGCUGGACUCAACUCACCUUGCUCCUCUUACUCACCUGAAUCCAGUGCAGGGUGAGGCACAGGGAGGCACCCUCCUCUCCAUUCUGAUUUCUCUGCGGAGCCAGGUCUUCCCAGCUGCAUUCCUGUGGGUCAAAGCCAAGGAACAGCUCUCCUCUUACACUAGCAAAUCCUAUUAUGGAGUCUUUUUCUCAGCUAUAUAAUUUGUCUCCUUGAUAAGACAGAAUUAUGAACUCACAUUCUGUGAACUCAUAACAAGGCCUGCCACUGACAUUUGUAAGGCAUCUGUCUUAGUCAAGGUUUCUAUUUCUGCACAAACAUCAUGACCAAGAAGCAAGUUAGGGUGGAAAGGGUUUAGUCAGCUUACAUUUCCACAUUGCUGUUCAUCACCAAAGGAAGUCAGGACUGGAACUCAAGCAGGUCAGGAAGCAGGAGAUGAUACAGAGGCCAUGGAGGGAUGUUCCUUACUGGCUUGCUUACCCUGGCUUGCUCACUUUGCUCUCUUAUAGAACCCAAGACUACCAGUCCAGGGAUGGUACCACCCACAAGGGGCCCUACCCCCUUGAUCACUAAUUGAGAAAAUGCCCCACAGCUGGAUCUCAUGGAGGCAUUUCCUCACCUGAAGCUCCUUUCUCUGUGAUAACUCCAGCUGUGUCAAGUUGACACACAAAACCAGGCAGUACAGCAUCUAUGUGAAACAUGGUCUCAAGAAAGAGAGAAUCAGGGACAGAAUUAGAAGGAAAGAGACCUUAAGAAGAGGAAAGAAAUGACAUUCCCUGAGUUACUACAAUUGCCCAGUGCUCCGUAAGGCAAGGGGACCCCUUUGAGCACAGGGUCCCCAAGGCUCAGGCUGCAUUUCAUUCAAUCUAAAAGAGGGAAGAAAACAUUGUGAUUCACAGUGGACUGGGACUCAGCUCCUCCAUCUUCAAACCCAAAGCACAGGACCGGCAUCGGUUGUAUUAAUUCCCCACUCCCGCCCCAGUCCAUGCUCUGGGCAAAACCUUUGCGUCCACACAUUAAUCACUGGCUGUCACUGGCCCCGGGUUGGGGGAACACGCUGCUAAGUAAAACCUCAAUGGGAAGGGUAGGAUCUGCAGAGCUACCAUGAGUCACAGAGCAGCCCUCCAGCCUCUGCAAGGCGAGAUUUGGUUGAAAAGUUUGCAGGCAUGGCAAACUGAACGUGGGUGGGGGUGCCGAGAUAAG
This is a long non-coding RNA of Mus spicilegus (steppe mouse), 2313 nucleotides long. The record is from Ensembl. NCBI's taxonomy places the organism in Eukaryota, Metazoa, Chordata, Mammalia, Rodentia, Muridae.